Molecule: long non-coding RNA, 1219 nt
Organism: Pectinophora gossypiella (pink bollworm)
Lineage: Eukaryota; Metazoa; Arthropoda; Insecta; Lepidoptera; Gelechiidae
Exons: 4
Source: RefSeq, a predicted model, not a curated record
GGGUGUCAACAAUGUAUGGGGGGAGCUCGAUACCUACGGGGGCCAAAACAAAUGUGGCCAUGUAUAAUCUGAAAGACUUUUAGUAAAAGUAGUAGAAUUCAGGGCGCAUAUACCGAAAAUUAUUACUGAGUUUUUUACUAAUAUAAAAAAUAAAACAAAGUCUUUGUUAGAUAAAUUAAACAUUUAUAUAAUUAUCAUUUUUUUUGGUAAGCCAAUUAUUUAAAAAAUACAUAAACUUAAUUUUUGGAAAUAAAUAUAUAUUAAUAUACUGGCAACCCUAUCCCUUGAUGUCUGUCACUGUCAUUUCAAAAUGGCGGCGCCUACGCAAUUACGCAUCGGUGUUGAUUUUAUUUCGUGAAUAUUCCUUACCGUAUCGUCGAGUUGAGCUGCUGUUCCUCCGAUAACGUGCAGAAUAUCAUCAUUUUUUAGUGAUUUUCGAGACAGCGACUCUUUUUCGUGGUGUUUUGUGAGGCAGUGACUCUUUAUGUGCUACGAUGUCGGAUAAGGAGAACAAACGGAAAUGUUUUAAAUGCGGCUCUUCACCCGCUGAAGACGGCAUUAAAUUGUUCCGAGCUCUUAAGCCUGGCACCAAUAACCUAGUUCGUUGUGAGCAAUGGGCACAGUACAUGUACCCUGGAAGAAAUGUUAACUCUGUAGAAUUUCUGAAAAAACUCUACAAUGAGCACAGGAUGCUUUGUUCAAAAAGAGGAUUUUACGGAUCUGACUCGAAAAUAUUUAUUAAGGACUGCAGUCCCCAGAGACAUUGAGCAACAUGUGCCUAUCUUCGUGGCAAGUCAGCCAGGUACUUCCGGAGUACAUAGCCAGGUACUAACAAACAUCACAAACCAGCCUGCUCAUGGAACAAUCGAGCAACAGGAGCAGGGUCCAGAAAACCUAAGACGAUGAGACGACCAAUGAGUAUGUGUACGAACGACGAAAAUUGAAAUUGAGUUUUAUGUGUAAACAUUAAAGACGUGGCAAGCGGUAAUAUCGCACGUUGUUUCUCCGGUGUAAAUCAAGCAUAAUACUGUUUGUUCUGGAAUGAUUUGAUUAAGGAGGCUUUUUCUUUGUGUUGGUCGUAGUGGUCCUAACAGCCAGUACGACCUGGGGCUUAUUUCUAGAAACUUACAAGUCACAAGUUACAAAUGUGUAACCAUACUAACCCUUAAAUUUCACAAUUACUACGCGUGACCAUGGUUACACACCUUUAGUUACAAGA